This 301-nucleotide ribosomal RNA is filed under the name uncultured bacterium. RNAcentral's name for it is "partial 16S ribosomal RNA". It matches the Rfam family "Bacterial small subunit ribosomal RNA", at positions 509 to 808 of the family's 1533-position model. The record is from RNAcentral.
CAGCCGCCACGGGAACACGUAGGUGGCGAGCGUUGUCCGGAAUUAUUGGGCGUAAAGGGAGCGCAGGCGGACAUAUAAGUCCAUCUUAAAAGUGCGGGGCUCAACCCCGUGAGGGGAUGGAAACUGUAUGCCUUGAGUGCAGGAGAGGAAAGCGGAAUUCCCAGUGUAGCGGUGAAAUGCGUAGAUAUUGGGAGGAACACCAGUGGCGAAGGCGACUCUCUGGUCUGUAACUGACGCUGAGGCUCGAAAGCGUGGGGAGCAAACAGGAUUAGAUACCCCUGUAGUCCCUGUCUCUUAUACA